AAAUCGUAACAAGGUUUCCGUAGGUGAACCUGCGGAAGGAUCAUUACUGAACCGUUGACACGAGCUGUUGCUGGCCCUCGAAAGGGGGCACGUGCACGCUCUGUUUACACAUCCACUCACACCUGUGCACCCUCUGUAGUUCUAUGGCCUUGGGGACCCUGUCUCCUUGCUGUGGUCCUACGCCUUUACACACACACCGUAACAAAGUCUCAUGGAAUGUAUGUCGCGUUUAACGCAAUACAAUACAACUUUCAGCAACGGAUCUCUUGGCUCUCGCAUCGAUGAAGAACGCAGCGAAAUGCGAUAAGUAAUGUGAAUUGCAGAAUUCAGUGAAUCAUCGAAUCUUUGAACGCACCUUGCGCCCUUUGGCUAUUCCGAAGGGCAUGCCUGUUUGAGUAUCAUGAACACCUCAACUCUCAUGGUCCGCCAUGAUGAGCUUGGACUUUGGGGGCCUUGCCGGCCAAGUGUCGGCUCCUCUCAAAUGGAUCAGCUUGCCAGUGUUUGGUGGCGUCACAGGUGUGAUAACUAUCUACGCUUGUUGUUCUCUGCCAUGUAACCUUCAGUGAUGGAGGUUCGCUGGAGCUCACAGAUGUCUCUCCCUGGGAGGACAGC
RNAcentral lists this ribosomal RNA (612 nucleotides) under uncultured Tomentella. RNAcentral's name for it is "eukaryotic LSU rRNA". The stretch from base 247 to 401 matches the Rfam family "5.8S ribosomal RNA". Lineage: Eukaryota; Fungi; Basidiomycota; Agaricomycetes; Thelephorales; Thelephoraceae. The record is from RNAcentral.